GCCCGCCGCGUUUCUCCCUCAUCUUUUCUCUGCUCUCGGUUGGGGGUCGCUCCGUCCCGAAAAAUAAAGGCAAACAAGCGGAGCGCGCAGAAGAAAGCGGCCACUGCCGCGAAGAAGACUACGAGACGGCAACGACGGGAGAAGAGCGAGAAAGAGACAGCCUGUGGCAUAUACUGGGGGAGCCCAUUCUUCAAAGUGCCGUGUCGCGCGUCCGCUUUGUCAGCGAUCCGGUCCGGUCGCAGAGAGACAAAGCCCGCGGGUAACCCUAUAGCCGGUACGACGAACGGACACAACCCUUUUUUUUUUUUUUCUGGACCCUUCUUCGCCUCUCCCGCUGUUCCUGCUGCGCCUCAUCGGGGGAAGUGCGACCAUACCGUGGGUUUAGACGUCUUUACCAGAGGUCCUCGCUCACCCGCACGCGCCUAUGCUCGCUCAAGUGUUGCUCUCAGCCCGCUAUCUAUCGCGGGUUUGACAUUCAAGACGAACCGGGGCUGGCAGCAUAGUCGCUAACGAAGCACUGCGUGUUGCCGUAAAAGAGAGAGGGGGAAAGAAAGAAGAAAAGCAUUUGUAAGUGGCCGCGGUGACGGCUGAAGCACGUGGCUUUCCUUUAUUUUAUUUUGCCUCUGGAAAGGCGCUUCUUUCGGUGCCGCAUGCUGCUGCUGCUUCAACAGCUUCAGCAGCAGGGCGUCCUCAGAGAAACUGAGAUGGCUGCGGGGAGUAUGAACAGGGGGAGAAGAGUGUUGGGGGGAUGGGGGGAGGGGGACGCGAGCCCUAAGCUAAAGGCUCUCCUUUACGGGAGGAUCAUUUAUUUUUCGACGGGACGUCCCAUCCCCUCUCCUUUGGACGUUUUAUGGCCCCUUUGACAAUCGCGUUCGAACGCGAGCGCGCGCGCCCAGCCGCCCUGCUCUCCAGACCACGUGCGGGCUUCCGCCGAUGCAGGCAGGCGCCGCUCGCCGAAGAGUGCGCGUGUCUCGUUCCGUGAAAUCGGUCCACUCGUCGGGUCCUAACCGCCGCCGCCAUCACCGUGGCCGUCUGCAGAACCAGUGCUUUUCCUCAUCGGCGCUCCCGUCCCCGAGAAGCUUGCGAGACGUUGGCGACCAUUGUCAGGCGCUGUCGUGCGACUAACCCAUCGUCGACGCCAUUUUCUUUCACAGCCAGGCCGCCGUAAACGAGAAAGUCGCUUCGCUUUUCUUCCUUUCGCCGGGGCACUCCUUCUACGCGGCCCCUACUCCGUCAACCGGGGUGUGACCCCUUUGUCUUCGAGGCACGCGCGUAGCUAGCUUGACGAGCACAGGUCUUAUCUGGCGCGCCGCGCAUCUUACCCCGAAGCCCCCGGAGGAACCCAGCGCGCGUGUGCGCUUCGAGGGGCGGGAUGUCUUGUUUAGCGUGGGCCGUGGAUGCAGCGUCACCGAUAGCGCACUCCCGCGCACCGCUCUCCUCCCCUCCCCGUUCUUCCUGCUGCCGUCCAGUUUUUCCCAGGCCUUUGCUUUUGCUGCUGCUACUACUACUACUACUGCUGCUGCUGCUGCUGCUCUAGUCAGGCGUGAGCGAUCACCAAGUGGAUAUAUAGUCAUCAAAAGCCCGGACGUUCUGCGAAAGUUCUUUUGCCCAUGCAGCAGACGACAAAAGUGGGACACCUGCACAGAUAUUUAACAGAUUUGUCAGCUGCUGCAGCUCUGCACAUUUUAUCGACAACCUUGAAGGAGAUGAAAGUAUCAUCAGACAAACAAGAGCUGCAUCACUGUGUAAUGCUUCCAGCAGUGAAGUCCUAUGGCAUACUUUGAUCAAGCGUUUGAACAACUGCUAAGAAGACAUGCAUCCUCGUUUGGUAUUUAUGUUGUCAUGCUGAGUUUUAUAGGUCUGCGGUUGGUAGAACAUGAAAAAAUCCAGAUGGUGUUCUGUAGUGAGUCAAAUGGUCGCUAAGUUUGGUUAAGGGCGACGUAUAAAACGCUGCUAGAGACUGCAUGCAUAUAUACAUGCAUAUGGUCAUGCAUACAUAUGCACGCCACAUUUUGAUCUCAGUUCCUUCUUGGGCAGAACUUUGCAAGUUGCAAGGGCGUUUAACCUCACUAUCCUCUUCGGCAGUUUCCGCGCAUAUAUACAACAUAUAUACAGCAGGGGCGCAUGUAUAUACAUAUUUAUAUAUAUAAUGCAGAGCUGCCCAUGACAAAUCUU
This is a long non-coding RNA of Dermacentor andersoni, 2175 nucleotides long. RefSeq lists it as uncharacterized. The record is from RefSeq and is a predicted model, not a curated record. NCBI's taxonomy places the organism in Eukaryota, Metazoa, Arthropoda, Arachnida, Ixodida, Ixodidae.